GGGCAGCUAUUCAGUUCACCGCCACAGGGGGCCUGAGAGUAAGAGUGUGAGGCCCCUGCUGGUUGCUUUGAUCUCUAGAGGUCCUGAGCAGCCUAAAAGCCCAGACAGAGGCCCCUCUCCCUGUGGAUGUGGGAAUCCUUGUAAUAUUGGUGCAAGUGCUGGCUGCAGAGACUUCUUCAGAUUCCCCCACCUCAGGCUGAGGCAGAGGAGCAGGAACCAGCCUUAGGGUGCCUGCGCAGGCCAGGGCUCCCUCCUGUUCUGAUUCACAGAUGGAGUCAGUGGAAAAGACAACAAACAGAAGUGAACAGAAAUGCAGAAAGUUUUUAAAGAGCCUCAUUAGGAAGCAGCCCCAGGACCUGCUCUUGGUCAUCGGGACCGGCGUGAGUGCAGCCGUGGCCCCGGGUAUCCGCGCACUCUGCUCCUGGAGGGGCUGCAUCGAGGCUGUCAUCGAGGCUGCAGAGCAGUUGGAGGUCCUGCACCCUGGGGACGUUGCCGAGUUCCGGAGGAAGGUGAUGAAGGACCGGGACCUGCUGGUUGUGGCCCAUGAUCUGAUUCGGAAGAUGUCACCUCGCACAGGCGACACCAAGCCCAACUUCUUCCAGGAUUGCCUGAUGGAGGUGUUUGACAGCUUGGAGCAGCACAUCCAGAACCCUGUGGUGCUGGAGUCCAUCCUCAGCCUGAUGGACAGGGGCACCAUGGUGCUGACCACCAACUAUGACAACCUGCUGGAAAUCUUUGGGCAGCAGCAGAGCAAGCCCAUGGAGUCCCUGGACUUGAAGGACAAGACAAAGGUCCUUCAGUGGGCAAGAGGUCAUAUCAAGUAUGGAGUCCUUCAUAUUCAUGGCCUGUACACUGACCCCUGUGGGAUGGUGCUGGACCCAUCGGGCUAUAAAGAUGUCACUCAGGAUCCAGAAGUCAUGGAAGUCCUGCAAAAUCUCUACCGCACCAAGUCUUUCCUGUUCAUGGGCUGUGGAGAGACGCUGCGCGACCAGAUAUUCCAAGCGCUCUUCUUGUACUCUGUGCCAAAUAAGGUGGACUUGGAGCACUACAUGGUAGUGCUCAAGGAAAACGAAGACCAUUUCUUUAAGCAUCAAGCAGACAUGCUUUUGCAUGGAAUUAAGGUGGUGUCCUAUGGGGACUGUUUUGACCUUUUCCCAGGAUAUGUGCAAGACCUUGCCACUCAGAUCUGCAAACAGCGGAGUCCAGAUGCUGAGCGAGUGGACAGCACCACCUUAUUGGGUAAUGCAUGUCAGGACUGUGCGAAGAGGAAGUUGGAAGAGAAUGGAAUUGAAGCUACAAAAAAAGUCAGACAGUCAGAUCCUGGUAGGUAUUGUUUGUGUUCAUGGGAACUCUCUGGGUCUGUAGGUAUCUGUACUUAGUGCUUUGCUUUAACAGCCUGGUCUAUGACAAAGAUCAGUGCAUACAUCAUGUCAGAAUCACACAGACCUUUUCAGUGGAACCUGACCUUCUACACUGCUAAUCAGAGAGAGGUACUAUUCUUUUCCCCACAAUUUCUCUUAAAAUGUAAUCAAAAGAAAACAAGCAAGUAAUGUAGCAUCAGUUCAGUGAGUUUUCAUGAGGAAGACACCCAUUUGGUCAUAUCAAGUUGGCAAACAGAACAUUUUGGGAGCACCUCCCCCCUGCCCCCAUCAGAGUGCCCAUCAAUCUCUAAAGAAACCUCUUGAGAUUGUUUCUUUUUGUUCUCUCUCCUACUAGGAUGUAUAUACACUUGUAAACUUUCAACUGCUCAUUCAGUAGACUCUUCCCAUUGAAACUAGGAGAGGUGAACUGGAUGGCUGCUUGUGUCCCUCCUCUUCUCCCCCUCCCCUCUGGUGUGGUAGGAUCCAUUUCUAGUGCCUUAGUACUCAGAAGUAGGAUUUGAAUCUGUUGAUUGGGCUCUGAAGGGGCUUUUCCCUUCUUCUCCAUCCCAUUCCCCAGCACCAGCUUUUAACAUUCCCAAUGUCAAGCACCUAGAUACAGGAUAAAGAGGAAGCAAGACCUCUCUUCUCUUUAUGGAUUCUAAAAGAUGGAGUCCCUAGCUGGCCUGGAACUAAACGUGUAUAGACCAAACUGACCUCAAACUCAAGAGAUCUGCCUGCCUCAGCCUCCUGAGUACCAGGACUAAAGAUGAUGCUGGAGGGUCUUGAAGUUUUUAAAACUUGACACUUGAAAACCAGCCUUCUGUAACCACAGUGCCAUGCCCAAGUGAUGAGGAAUGUACGGAGGACUCCAUCUGGAUCUCUCAAUAGUGAACUGUCACACACCCCCAAAAGAGCCAUGUGGGUGUGUGGCCUUUGUGGUUGAACGGCAGAGCUCUACUAUGUGUUUAGCUGCUCAGGAGGUGACAUGGACACACUUCAGGUGUACUCAUAAGGACUAAUGGACAGCUACCUCAGGGACCAAAUUGAGGGGUGGGAGGUGGGAUGUACCUGGCAUUGUUCCCUUUUCCCAUUUGACAUGUUUUCUUAUGUCAGGGUGUUAUUUUUCCUAAUAAAUAGAGGAGAAUGAGGAUUAUUCAAGCAACAGUAGUUGCCAAAGAGAAAAUAAGACAUAAACAUUUAUAUUUUAUAUCUUUAUGUGGAAAUAUGUGGAAACAUCUUUUACUGUAGAAAGUUUUUUAAAGAUGUGUUGGUUACAGUGUUAAAUAGUAAAAACCAAGUGGAGAGUAGAGGGGCUGAACUCACUAGUGAAAAGUGUUGUUUUUAAAGGGAUGACUAGAUCAAUGUGGUUUCUUUGGAAUUGUGACAUUUCAGUAGUUUCUGUUCCAAAGAAAUGGUAAACUCUCCCUUAGUGAGUGUUAAGUCCAGAGAGACUGAAGACCUUCCCCAAAGUCUUCAUUGCUGUCUUGAUCCACUGUGUGACUUCCAAGUUAGAAAGGGAAAGUGAAGCACAAGACCAAGCUUUAAACUUUUAGAAGUUCUAAGCUUUCAGAGUCUUAUUUCUCUAGGAUAAGGCCCAUCCUUUCUGUUCUCCUCUCUUCCCAUGGUUCAUAUAAAGAUUUACAUGGAGUGGGGUAAGCAAUACUUUGAAAUUUUAACUACAUUCAAAGUCAACUUCUGAGGAAACACCCAUGCUCAGAGUAUGGCACAUACCCACAGCUUCCCUGAUAGUGACUGUGGCAAAGGCUCACAUGUUGUACAGAGUGGUCCUGAAAGGAAGACUUCUUAGAAACAGGUCCUGCAUGGUCCAUUUGAGGCUACCCAUCUUUGAUAUGAUGCCAAGCUCUGCCUGUGACAUUGCAUGGAUGGCACUGUAGCUCCCAAGGGACGUGGACAAUUAAGAACAGGAAACAGGUUGGUACAGGGAAUGAGGGAGAAGGCAGAGACAGGCUAAAGGCACCUCCCCACCCCUGUGCUUUCUAAGUGUGGAAAAUAAAUCUUUUAUGUCACUGGUUAUGAAUAAAAUUUUAAAGUCAA
This is a non-coding RNA of Arvicanthis niloticus (Nile rat), 3416 nucleotides long. Lineage: Eukaryota; Metazoa; Chordata; Mammalia; Rodentia; Muridae. The record is from RefSeq and is a predicted model, not a curated record.